This 1705-nucleotide ribosomal RNA is filed under the name Escherichia coli. RNAcentral describes it as "partial 23S ribosomal RNA". It matches the Rfam family "Bacterial large subunit ribosomal RNA", at positions 474 to 2164 of the family's 2925-position model. Lineage: Bacteria; Pseudomonadati; Pseudomonadota; Gammaproteobacteria; Enterobacterales; Enterobacteriaceae. RNAcentral also lists the same sequence under 1 other name. The record is from RNAcentral.
UCCUGACUGACCGAUAGUGAACCAGUACCGUGAGGGAAAGGCGAAAAGAACCCCGGCGAGGGGAGUGAAAAAGAACCUGAAACCGUGUACGUACAAGCAGUGGGAGCACGCUUAGGCGUGUGACUGCGUACCUUUUGUAUAAUGGGUCAGCGACUUAUAUUCUGUAGCAAGGUUAACCGAAUAGGGGAGCCGAAGGGAAACCGAGUCUUAACUGGGCGUUAAGUUGCAGGGUAUAGACCCGAAACCCGGUGAUCUAGCCAUGGGCAGGUUGAAGGUUGGGUAACACUAACUGGAGGACCGAACCGACUAAUGUUGAAAAAUUAGCGGAUGACUUGUGGCUGGGGGUGAAAGGCCAAUCAAACCGGGAGAUAGCUGGUUCUCCCCGAAAGCUAUUUAGGUAGCGCCUCGUGAAUUCAUCUCCGGGGGUAGAGCACUGUUUCGGCAAGGGGGUCAUCCCGACUUACCAACCCGAUGCAAACUGCGAAUACCGGAGAAUGUUAUCACGGGAGACACACGGCGGGUGCUAACGUCCGUCGUGAAGAGGGAAACAACCCAGACCGCCAGCUAAGGUCCCAAAGUCAUGGUUAAGUGGGAAACGAUGUGGGAAGGCCCAGACAGCCAGGAUGUUGGCUUAGAAGCAGCCAUCAUUUAAAGAAAGCGUAAUAGCUCACUGGUCGAGUCGGCCUGCGCGGAAGAUGUAACGGGGCUAAACCAUGCACCGAAGCUGCGGCAGCGAUGCUUAUGCGUUGUUGGGUAGGGGAGCGUUCUGUAAGCCUGCGAAGGUGUGCUGUGAGGCAUGCUGGAGGUAUCAGAAGUGCGAAUGCUGACAUAAGUAACGAUAAAGCGGGUGAAAAGCCCGCUCGCCGGAAGACCAAGGGUUCCUGUCCAACGUUAAUCGGGGCAGGGUGAGUCGACCCCUAAGGCGAGGCCGAAAGGCGUAGUCGAUGGGAAACAGGUUAAUAUUCCUGUACUUGGUGUUACUGCGAAGGGGGGACGGAGAAGGCUAUGUUGGCCGGGCGACGGUUGUCCCGGUUUAAGCGUGUAGGCUGGUUUUCCAGGCAAAUCCGGAAAAUCAAGGCUGAGGCGUGAUGACGAGGCACUACGGUGCUGAAGCAACAAAUGCCCUGCUUCCAGGAAAAGCCUCUAAGCAUCAGGUAACAUCAAAUCGUACCCCAAACCGACACAGGUGGUCAGGUAGAGAAUACCAAGGCGCUUGAGAGAACUCGGGUGAAGGAACUAGGCAAAAUGGUGCCGUAACUUCGGGAGAAGGCACGCUGAUAUGUAGGUGAAGUCCCUUGCGGAUGGAGCUGAAAUCAGUCGAAGAUACCAGCUGGCUGCAACUGUUUAUUAAAAACACAGCACUGUGCAAACACGAAAGUGGACGUAUACGGUGUGACGCCUGCCCGGUGCCGGAAGGUUAAUUGAUGGGGUCAGCGCAAGCGAAGCUCUUGAUCGAAGCCCCGGUAAACGGCGGCCGUAACUAUAACGGUCCUAAGGUAGCGAAAUUCCUUGUCGGGUAAGUUCCGACCUGCACGAAUGGCGUAAUGAUGGCCAGGCUGUCUCCACCCGAGACUCAGUGAAAUUGAACUCGCUGUGAAGAUGCAGUGUACCCGCGGCAAGACGGAAAGACCCCGUGAACCUUUACUAUAGCUUGACACUGAACAUUGAGCCUUGAUGUGUAGGAUAGGUGGGAGGCUUUGAAGUG